RNAcentral lists this ribosomal RNA (497 nucleotides) under uncultured bacterium. RNAcentral's name for it is "partial 16S ribosomal RNA". It matches the Rfam family "Bacterial small subunit ribosomal RNA", at positions 28 to 507 of the family's 1533-position model. The record is from RNAcentral.
GAUGAACGCUGGCGGCGUGCCUAAUACAUGCAAGUCGAGCGAACGGACGAGAAGCUUGCUUCUCUGAUGUUAGCGGCGGACGGGUGAGUAACACGUGGAUAACCUACCUAUAAGACUGGGAUAACUUCGGGAAACCGGAGCUAAUACCGGAUAAUAUUUUGAACCGCAUGGUUCAAAAGUGAAAGACGGUCUUGCUGUCACUUAUAGAUGGAUCCGCGCUGCAUUAGCUAGUUGGUAAGGUAACGGCUUACCAAGGCAACGAUGCAUAGCCGACCUGAGAGGGUGAUCGGCCACACUGGAACUGAGACACGGUCCAGACUCCUACGGGAGGCAGCAGUAGGGAAUCUUCCGCAAUGGGCGAAAGCCUGACGGAGCAACGCCGCGUGAGUGAUGAAGGUCUUCGGAUCGUAAAACUCUGUUAUUAGGGAAGAACAUAUGUGUAAGUAACUGUGCACAUGUUGACGGUACCUAAUCAGAAAGCCACGGCUAACUACGUG